This 253-nucleotide ribosomal RNA is filed under the name uncultured bacterium. Its description in RNAcentral is "partial 16S ribosomal RNA". It matches the Rfam family "Bacterial small subunit ribosomal RNA", at positions 524 to 776 of the family's 1533-position model. The record is from RNAcentral.
GACGAACCGUGCGAACGUUGUUCGGAUUCACUGGGCUUAAAGGGCGCGUAGGCGGGCUGCCAAGUCAGGGGUGAAAUCCUCCGGCUCAACCGGAGAACAGCCCCUGAUACUGGCGGCCUCGAGGGAGGUAGGGGCAGGCGGAACUUCCGGUGGAGCGGUGAAAUGCGUAGAUAUCGCUUGGAACGCCGAAGGUGAAAACAGGUCGCUGGGGAUGUGCCGACGCUGAGACACGAAAGCCAGGGGAGCAAACGGG